GUGGGUAUGUUGGAAUCGGCAGACAACACAGACUUAAAAUCUGUUGGGAGCAAUCCCGUGCGGGUUCAAGUCCCGCUACCCGCACCA
RNAcentral lists this transfer RNA (87 nucleotides) under Bacteroidaceae bacterium. RNAcentral's name for it is "tRNA-Leu". It matches the Rfam family "tRNA". From Rfam's summary of the family: Transfer RNA (tRNA) molecules are approximately 80 nucleotides in length. Their secondary structure includes four short double-helical elements and three loops (D, anti-codon, and T loops). Lineage: Bacteria; Pseudomonadati; Bacteroidota; Bacteroidia; Bacteroidales; Bacteroidaceae. The record is from RNAcentral.